RNAcentral lists this unclassified non-coding RNA (425 nucleotides) under Hevea brasiliensis (rubber tree). Lineage: Eukaryota; Viridiplantae; Streptophyta; Magnoliopsida; Malpighiales; Euphorbiaceae. The record is from RNAcentral.
CAUGGUUCUUCGAAUUUUCUGGAUCAUAGUAGAUGUACUGAAAACUGGCAGGGUGCAGUUCAAUUGUCCAAAUUUCAAACAAAUUCUUUGCCUUUGAGUGAACCAUUCAGUCAUGAUCCAUUAUCCAGUAGUAACUUGAGAGGCAAUAUAUCAUCCACCAGCUCCCAGAUAGGUAACAGCCCGAAUGAUUUUUCUUCUUCUAGUGUGCUUGCCACACCUUUAGAUUCCAGAGUAGACGUGGAAGGGCAAACAGACUUGAUUGGUAAUAUUGUGCAGAAUAUGAGUUACAAUUCAAGGCAGAGGUGGGAAGAACAUAGCCAGGAUUAUAAUCCAAACCUAAAUAACUCAUUCAGCACCAUAAACACAAUGGUUUCUGGCAAUGGUGGUGUGGGUUCAUUGAGCCAUAGUAUGGACCAAAGAAAGAA